UUGUAAACAAUGUUUACAAAUUUUCUUUGCGGCAUUUGUGAGAAAAUAAUCGUGCUCCGUAAUUUUUUAAUUUUUGACCAAAAGAAACAUUACAAAAUGGUGAAACAUUGUAUUGUGCGUGGAUGUAAAAGAGAUUUAGCAUCUGAUCGCUAAAAUAGAAUGAAUUACUGAAAAACAAUUUGCGUCAAUCAUCUUUAUUCAAAGUACCAAACUACCAAAGAAUAACGUAUUGAGGGAAAAUGGGUAAAAGCUUUAUCACAACAAUUGACUCCAAAUCAGUUUGUGUGAGAAGCACUUUCGCGAAGAAGAUAUUAAGAAAAUUGAUCGAUUGAUUAUUAAUGGAGCUGAAAUUAUCAUCCCUCGCGAAAGGUGGACUCUUUUGAAUGACAAUGUCAUUCCAAUAAACCCUCACGAUUUGGAAAAGGACAUUUCUGAAGAGCAAGUUCCAAUAGUGCAAAAUGACAUUAAUAACUGACCAAUCGAAAAACCUGGAUUAUACACAACCCUUGUUAAAAAUCGUUCAAGGUAACAAUUUAAAAGAAGACUCUCAACCAGCAGGACCCCAUCAUAUGGAAUCACCAGAGAUUGUAACAGCUAAUAAUGUAAAAGACUUAGAUAUUAUUAUGUUUAUCAUAUUGUUAUAGAUUUGCGAGAUUUUAAUAUUUUUUUGUACAUAAAUUUCAACAUUAGGUCAUUAUCUCGAACAUGUCUCCACCAUCAUGUGUUACACUAGAAGAGAUCCAUGCUCAUUUUCACUCAAUACUGAUCCAAGGAUGGUGUUAUUUUGCUUGUGAUGAAGAGUUGAUAUUAUAUAAGAUAUGAAUUUUACUAUUUCCAAUAAUCUUUCAGUGAAGGUAAAUAAUUUUCUCAUGCUUUUUUGAAUAAUUUUAUCUAUUCAUAAUGCAUACAGAGCAUUUUAUAAAAUUUAUUAAGUUUUGCUCACAAUCAUUUCUGAUACAACAGGUUUCUUUCUCUCAACAACCAUAAAUUGUUAUUGAUACUACAUCAUCUAUAGAAGAUAUAAAAAUGUAUAUGGAAACUCUGCAAGCGACUAUUUUAUGUAAAGGAACUGACAUACACUAUAGGUACGAUAUAUUUUCUUUCAUUUCUUUUAAUAUAAAUAAAAAUCUCAUACCAUUACACAUUCGGUGAAAAUUGAAAAUAAACUUAAAGAUUCACCUAAAUCGAGGCUCCAUCUAGAACUGUGACACCUGAAGUAAAAACAAGCAUCAAGUACAUCUUUUAGUAGUAGUGUGAAAAGAAAGAAAGUAUCUACAUUACCUUUGAAAAAUUCCAAAUCAUCUUGUAAGUCAAUAGAUAUGUGUUUUAGGUAGCAGAUUUUUUUUGUAAUUAUCUAACUGUAUGCAAAUGAACUUGUAAAUAAUGUAAAUACAUU
RNAcentral lists this unclassified non-coding RNA (1396 nucleotides) under Melitaea cinxia (Glanville fritillary). RNAcentral's name for it is "misc RNA ENSMCXG00005005953.1". The record is from RNAcentral. Lineage: Eukaryota; Metazoa; Arthropoda; Insecta; Lepidoptera; Nymphalidae.